Molecule: long non-coding RNA, 901 nt
Organism: Oreochromis aureus
Lineage: Eukaryota; Metazoa; Chordata; Actinopteri; Cichliformes; Cichlidae
Exons: 2
Source: RefSeq, a predicted model, not a curated record
GGAACCGCUACAUCGAUCACUUGGCAGUUUCCAAGGCCUCAGGUUUGUGACUGAGCUUGUUGGAGGUGAGCAAGUCUUCUGGACCAGACAGAGUGAGUCCCCGCAUUCUCGAGGCCUGUGCCCCCCCAGCUUGUGGAGUCUUUCAUAAACUGUUCAUGUUGAGUCUCAGUCUACAGAGGGUCCCAGUGCUGUGGAAGACAUCAAGCCUCGUCCCUGUACCAAAGACGCCACUUAACAGUGGCCCCCAGGAUUACUGGCCUGUGGCACUGACCUCCUCCGUCAUGAAGACCCUGGAAAGUCUCAUCCAAACCAGUGCAAUCCUCUAUGCUGUUGCAUGCUGCGGCAGCAGGUUGAGGGUUGCAGAUGCCAACAGACUAAAUUAACUGAUCCACAACGCCAAUAAUGUUGUGGGGAUGGAGUUGGACUGUCUUAAGGUGGUGUCAGAGCGGUGGAUGUUGUCCAAGACAAAGACAAUGUUGGACUAUACCCCCCCACCCACUCCAUGACAUGCUGGCUAGCCACAGGAGCACGCUCAGUGAGAGACUGAGAUUACGGAAAAUCACCACUGAACGACACAGGAAAUUAUUCCUGCCUGUGGCCAUCUCCCUGUACAACUCCUCCACCUGUAAACACUGCAACAGUUACAUCCUUUUUACACACGCUCUUUUCUACUCUGUAAUAUUCUUAUCAAUAUUCUUGAUAUUUACUUAUAAUCACCUGUAUUAAUUAUUUAUAUUUAUGGUUAAGUGUUUUGUAUAUAUUAGUGCUAUUUCUUACAUUUUUUAAAUCUUUAACAUAUUGUAUUGUUUAAAUACAAUAUGUCACUGUUUUAGAAUUUCUUCUUGGAGCAACUUUAACCCAGAUAAUUUCCUUAGGGAUCAAUAAAGUAUGCUGAUUCUGA